AUGGCAGCACUGCACAAGAACAUGACGGUAACACGCACCAUCAGUGCUGGAAACUGCACGAGCGCCGAAAGCCAGUCUGAAAGCGCGGGAUUCCCGUUCCCGCGCAGACACAGUUCCGCGGGAAUACUCGCUCUCAAAUGGGCCACCGCGAGAAGUAGUUCUUUUGGAAGUUCGCUGGCGUCAGAAAACCGCGGGAGUAAAGACAGCAUACGCAGUAUCGUCGUGACACCGGACAGCAUCCCGCAAUUCACCAUUCCUAAACUCGCCCUGGAGAAUGGGUUUAGAGCCAGAGUGAAUGAGAAAGAACGACAAGUUUCAUCGUCAUCAUCAUCCUCGGGGUUCGGUGUAUCUCCUGUACCUGGAAGAAAAGCCAUCUCAGAUGUCAAACGGGCUCAGACUCAGAGCAACUGUUCUCUGGUGGAUGCUGAACAUUGCUCUGACCAUGCCAGCCGAGCAGCUCUUUCUUUACCUCACCUUCCCAAAGUCACCACUCCGUACGGCUUCGUAACUUUGAGCAAGAGCCCACAGAUGGCCAACGAAGAGGCACUGUUCUUCCAGGGCCAUAGACGUUGGGGUCAUGAUGAAGAGAUAAACCCGUCCAGACACCCUAAGCUGGAAAUGAAAAGAAGCAUCACUGUCAGAACAUCACCGAUCCAGACACAUGCCGGCACCCCUCCACAUCAGUCUCCCGUCGCUCAUCAGUUCUUUAGAAGCCACAGCGUUACUGGAAUCGAGAUAGAGAAGCAGCUGGCUCAGAGCUAUGAGUCAGUGAAACAGGUCAGCAAAAGCAAGCGAAGCCUUUGGGGAAUUCUUCGCAAAGCAGACAGAAAGUCUUUCGAUUUUAAUUCGAACCUCAAAUGAACAAACCCAGAGCAGUGCUGCUCAAGAACAUGACAAUCAAGCACCUUCUGCUGUAAAUGCACUAGUUUUUCAUGCUGUCUGUUUUGUUGUGUGAGAAUUUAUUUAUUUUAUGCAUUCAUUUCACGUUCCAAAUGUUCAGAUUAGUCAUUAUAGAUGUCAUCCAUGACUUUAUGAAGAAAAUAAAUGUUUUAAACAUACAAAUCGUUUCA
Cyprinus carpio (common carp) is the source of this 1070-nucleotide long non-coding RNA. NCBI's taxonomy places the organism in Eukaryota, Metazoa, Chordata, Actinopteri, Cypriniformes, Cyprinidae. The record is from Ensembl.